This 253-nucleotide ribosomal RNA is filed under the name uncultured bacterium. RNAcentral describes it as "partial 16S ribosomal RNA". It matches the Rfam family "Bacterial small subunit ribosomal RNA", at positions 524 to 776 of the family's 1533-position model. The record is from RNAcentral.
UACGUGAGGGGCGAACGUUGUUCGGUGUCACUGGGCUUAAAGGGCGCGUAGGUGGUUGCGUAAGUAACGUGUGAAGGCCCUCGGCUUACCCGGGGAAUUGCGCGUUAUACUGCGUGGCUUGAGGAUUUCAGGGGAAAAGGGAACUCCAGGUGUAGCGGUGAAAUGCGCAGAUAUCUGGGGGAAGGCCGGCGGCGAAGGCGCUUUUCUGGGAAAUUCCUGACACUGAGGCGCGAAAGCGUGGGGAGCAAACAGG